AGGUUCUUGUCGCAGCAGAGCUGUAGCCAAGGGUAUAAGUUUGAGGACAAGUGAUGUACAGUGCUACAGCAGCAAGUCUAUUGGACAGUCUCACCUCUGACCUCUUUGAAGGGUUUCUUAGGCUUGGAGGCCAUCUGCGAGCCAAUCUGAUGUGGUGAGUACUCAUUCGGGGAGCUCCGGACAAUCGAGGGACUCCUCACAUUCCUAGGCUUGGGGGACAGCGGCCCAGACUCCUCGGGUGUGCACUUCGACUUGGACAAAGGGGGCAGUGGCUAAUGGGAAGAGGAAUAAGAUGGAUUUUAAAAAUAAAAGGCUGUAGCUCAGUCUGUUGAAGAUGCUGGUAGCAGGGUGUGCGGACUACAAGCCAUGGGAUAGUUGCCAAGAAAAUCCAGUCCCAAAUGGACACCAGAGAGCUGGGGUGCAGAAUUUACACUAGAAUUUCUGCAGGGAAGUGGGGAGACCAGCAAGGACCCCAACCUCUGCAGGGGUCCCCUUCUUUCCCAGCUCCUCCUGUGCUCUGCUGCCCGGCGGAGUCCUUCUGUGAUGCAGUAAAAGCGCUGCGCACACACACACACACACACACACACACACACACACACACACACACACACACACACACACACACACACACACACACACACACACGUUCGUACCUUUGGUUUCUCAGUUACCUCGUUGGCUCCAGAUAGUUGGGUGCCUGCUUUGUCCCUGACGUCCCUUCUUUUGGGGGGCCGCGGUGGGGGAGCCUCAUUGCUAGGCAUCAGCUUUAGCAAAUGAUAAUAAAAGGAUUCUGUCAGCUCUUCAACUUUUGACCUGUCUGUCAGGGGUGUCUGUGGUGGGGCAGGCUCCUCUGUGAAGAACACGGCCAUGUCCAGCCAUUGGGGGGGGAUCUGGAAGCUCACUGACGGCGCCUCGCAUAAGCUGGUCACUAAGAAGGGCUCAGUGAUUUGCGCUUCCAGCCGCAGAGCGGAGAAAGAGCCCAGGACAUCAUUGGCAAGGGAAGAAUCCUUGGUUGCCACCUUGACCUCGCAGGGCAGCUGAAGCUGCUCCACUAUCUCGGGGAGGCUGUAUCUCCUGCUGUCGCUGACCUCUUCCACAAAGCCGCCUUCCAGGUGCAGCGGCAGCAUGAGCUGCUCGCUCUCCUCGUCCUCGCCGCUGCUCCUGCUGCACAGGAGGACAUCGAUGGACUUGUGCUCUGCCUGCCUGCAGACCUGGGUCUUGGCCAGGUGCAGCACCUCCAGCCGGUCCCCCAUGCUGAGAGACGGCAGAUCCUCCUCGGGGCUCUCACAGUCUUUAGUCACCACCACCCGCAGGCACUUACCCUUCUCCAGACUCGCUGUCAGGUCAAAGACUGUGGGGAACUCCCGGGGGCGUCUCCGAAACUUGCCCUGGUAGGUGCUGGAGAGCAGGAAGUGCCGGGAGCCCCUCCUGCCCUUGCUGGACGAGGCGAGGAUCCUCCAGGCACAGGACUUGCCAUGGAUUUGGAUCUUCUGCCCCUUCUGCAGGCGGGGAAUCCAGUCGUUCUCGAAGAUAGGUGGGUACUCAGGACCCUCCAGGAUCUCGGCCUGCAUGGGGAAGGCCCCCUCCAGCCCCAGGACCUCGCUCAGCAUCAGCAGCUUGAUGAAGUGGAUGUGUUGAGACUCCUCGGUGACAUCCUCCACAUCCACUUCCAGGGUGGAGGGGAUUUUCACCACCUCCUUCCGCACUGCAGGGGCGAGACAUGCAGCAGUGAGAGACAGCAGUCCCAACCCCAGCCAGUGCCACCCCAUUGACCCUGGUGAUGCCAGCUGAGAAUCAGGCCCCAGAUGCUUUUGCAGCCUACAAUAACCAGGGGUUAUCUCCCUGCCAGGGAGAGCCCGGGUCUGCACUGCUGCUCGCGCCCAGGCUGAGAUGCUGGCAGGAUGUACUGACCCUGGCUCCAAUACUGGUUAAAAACUCAGCAUGACAGCUGUCAUCCUGAGACCCUGUGGAAUGAAUAGGGGACAUCCAGAGCUGAAAGCCUGAGCUGCUGUAGCAUGAGCUAAAGUUUCUACUUGGGCUAGAUCAGAAUCCUAUCCUCUGUGGAUCAGCACGGAGAGGUCCAGUAACACACUGAUCAGUGGGUACAGAAACACUGUGUAGAGUUGCUUGCCCCCACUGGUGGCAGAGUGCGUGUGUGGCUAACUACCUGGCCAAUAUGGACAGAGAUAAAUGUGUUAGGUCAGCUGUUCUCAAGCUGUGGGUUGCGAUCCCAUUUUAAUGGGCUUGCCAAGGCCAGCUUUACACUUGCUGAGGCCUGGGACUGAAGCCGAAGCCUGAGCCCCACUGUCCCGGGCUGAAGCCGAAAAUCACACCUGGGUCACGUAGUAAUUUUUGUUGUCCAAAGGAGGUCGUGGUGCAAUGAAGUUUAAGGACUCCUGUGUUAGGUCACUGCUAUUCUAGGCAGAGGCGUGUUUUAUAACAUAGUUCCAGUGUUGUUUGUGCCCAGCUCCAAGUGCUGUUAGAUCCCCCAAUUGGCUACAAUCAAGUUUAAACCACAGUUUGAGAGGUGAAUGGGGUCUAUGGGGGCAUGGCCAAGACAUCCAUCCGCUACAGAGAUCUCCAGCUGCAGGAUCAGUUCCUUGAGACUACCAGCAGCCUGUGCACCACGUGGGGGACUGGUCCAGCACGCAACCAGCCUAGGACUGGGGAAAUACAAAGGCAGGGCUCUAGGGGGAAAGGUAGUGGUACUCUUCCAAGCUCCAACCACAAAAUAGGCCCCACCCAUGUGAGUCACCAAAAUGAGUCGCCGCUCACACAAGAUUGUGCAAAUUUAAUUUAAUUUAAUUUAAUUUAAUUUAAUUUAAUAAUGGUGCUCAGGAGUGUGACCCCCUAAGCUUCGCUGGGCUCCUGGGGGCUGGUUCCUUGCUGAGGGAAAACCUCUCAGUGAAGCAUGCAGGUCUGCAGCCUGACCCCGUUCUCCCGUGCAGCUGGACACUGACAGGCACAAGACUGGGCCCUCACCCCGCCCUGGGGGGACUGCAGCGUCGUCAGCGCUGGUGGAUUUCAGCCGGGCUGGAGCCAGCUGCUAAUGUCAGAAACUCUGCCCCUCUAUGAAUUUGAGCGCUCUGAUUGGCUGCCUGCCCCACUUGCCUGCCUCCUGGGGCUGAGCAACCAAUCACUCUGCUGUAGGAAGAGUUGUCUCCCCACCUUCAGAACCUGAAGCCAUUCUCCACGGUCAGGCAGCAAGAGAAAGAGCCCAGCAGCUCAGGCUGGCUCCUAUGAACCCUGGGGACAGGUGGCACACUUCUGAUCCCCCCUGGGAGGGGGAAAGGGGACCCCAGAAGCCCCCCUAGCCUGGGAGAGGGGUUGGAGAACCCCAGGAAGAGCAGAGGUGAAGCUGUGGAACAGAACUGAGAGAUUAGGGGCUUGGUGAGUGAAGUGACAUGGGGCUGAACUGAUAGGAGGUCGGUCCUCGGGGGUAAGCUUGAUUUGGACACUGAGGGGUAAUAUUAAUUGCUGGACAGGUGAUGGGCAAAACUGGGGGUGAGAGCUCCUGCAGCAGGGGCCAAGAUCCCCCAACCCAAUGAAUCUGGGAGUGUGGGCAGCCCCACUUGUCACCCCACACGCUGGGCAGCCCUGCUUGUCACCCCACACACGCUGGGCAGCCCUGCUUGUCACCCCACACACGCUGGGCAGCCCCGCUUGUCACCCCACAUACUGGGCAGCCCCACUUGUCACCCCACACACUGGGCCCCACUUGUCACCCACACACUUGGCUGGGCAGGGGGAAUUUGGCACCCAGAAGACAUACCAAAACACAUAAUCUUUUUUUAAAAUCUCAUGAAUUUUGGGUGUGAGUCAUGAUUUUU
Chrysemys picta bellii (western painted turtle) is the source of this 3830-nucleotide non-coding RNA. The record is from RefSeq and is a predicted model, not a curated record. NCBI's taxonomy places the organism in Eukaryota, Metazoa, Chordata, Testudines, Emydidae.